UACGUAGGGUGCAAGCGUUACUCGGAAUUACUGGGCGUAAAGCGUGCGCAGGCGGUUUCGUAAGUCUGUCGUGAAAUCCCCGGGCUUAACCUGGGAAUGGCGAUGGAGACUGCGAGGCUAGAGUUUGGCAGAGGGGGGUAGAAUUCCACGUGUAGCAGUGAAAUGCGUAGAGAUGUGGAGGAACACCGAUGACGAAGGCAGCCCCCUGGGUCAAAACUGACGCUCAUGCACGAAAGCGUGGGGAGCAAACAGG
RNAcentral lists this ribosomal RNA (253 nucleotides) under uncultured bacterium. RNAcentral's name for it is "partial 16S ribosomal RNA". It matches the Rfam family "Bacterial small subunit ribosomal RNA", at positions 524 to 776 of the family's 1533-position model. The record is from RNAcentral.